GGCGCUGUGGCCGAGCGGUUAAGGCGACAGAUUAGAAUCGUUACUGAGUCUAAUAUCUGUUUCCCUAUGGGAGCGUGAGUUCAAAUCUCACCGGCGUCG
This is a transfer RNA of 99 nucleotides. It matches the Rfam family "tRNA". From Rfam's summary of the family: Transfer RNA (tRNA) molecules are approximately 80 nucleotides in length. Their secondary structure includes four short double-helical elements and three loops (D, anti-codon, and T loops). The record is from Rfam.